Molecule: ribosomal RNA, 248 nt
Filed under: uncultured bacterium
Lineage: Bacteria
Description: partial small subunit ribosomal RNA
Rfam family: Bacterial small subunit ribosomal RNA
Source: RNAcentral
AGCCUGAACGCUGGCGGCGUGGUUAAGACAUGCAAGUCGUACGGUGUAGCAAUACACAGUGGCGAACGGGUGAGUAAUGAAUCGCUAAUGUACCCCGGACUCUGGGAUAGCUGCCCGAAAGGGCAGGUAAUACCAGAUGACAUAUCCCUUCCGCAUGGUUGGGAUCUCAAAGGUCCGCCGGUCUGGGAGCAGGCGAUUUUGUAUCAGCUAGUUGGUGAGGUAACGGCUCACCAAGGCGAUGACGCAUA